CUUGGUGCUUAUAGAUAGUGGGGUACACCUGUUCCCAUCUCGAACACAGAAGUUAAGCCACUAAUCGCCGAUGAUACUGUUUAACGGUAAAGUAGGGCGGCGCCAAGA
This 108-nucleotide ribosomal RNA is filed under the name bacterium. The record is from RNAcentral.